UGUACUCAAAGAAUCUUGCAGCUCAUGUUGGCCGGAAGAAGGAGUUAGAACCCUGAAAUAGCCACAGAUUAUAAGCUAUCAUGUGGGUGCUGGGAAUCAAAGCCAGGUCCUCUGGAAGAGCAGCCCUUAAUCAACGAACCGUCUCUCAAUCACAUAGCUGCAGUUUUUUCAAACUAAAGCAUUUCCCCAAAUCUAAAGUGUUCUUGUGAGUUUCUUGAAAGAGAAAUGACCUAUUAGUAUAUCUCCAGACCUUAAAAUGCCACUAGAAAAACUUUUAUAAAAAUCCAUCAAUUCAGUGGGAGGAGGUUUUCUUUUGGGAAGUUCACCUGUCCAUGAUAAAUGAACUCUGAGACUGGGAACAUGGGGGAUGGGGGCGGGCAGCCUCUGGAUUGUUUGCAGUUUUCCCUUUUCAAAGCUGGAGUGUUUUCUCAGAUUUUGACUGGCCACGUCUUCCAUGACAGGCUGAUUGACAUACCAUUUUCUAUGUAAGCAGUUUUGUACUUUUUCCUUUUUGAGGGAAGUUUGGAGAUCUGUUCUUUAUGCUAUAGGUGUCUGGACAUUUCCAUCAAUCUUCUCUGAGGAAGGAAAUCUAGCCCCUGUUAGUAGCCUGAGGAUUUACUCUCCCUUCAGCUCCUAAGUCAGCAUCUAGUGAGUACAGAGUCCACUUCCUCCUCUGAGAUGGGAACUGGGUUAUGUAACCUUGCGGUAGAGCAUGAGGCUCUGGUGUGUUCUGAGAAGCUACUGUCCAGCUGUGGGCCACUCAGUGCCUGAGUCUUCCUGUGGUUUCACCCAGCCAUCUUGUCUCGUUAGGAACUGUUUAGCCAUGUUGAGGAAUAAAUUUGAUAAUGGAUGUGAAAGCUCUUUGGAAAUCCUAAGCUGCAGAGAGCAAUUAUCUCAGCGCACACAGUUGUUUUUCUAAGCUGUUAGCUUUAUUAACAGGCUCUCUUUAAAAAGACCUGAUAGAAGCAUCAUUUUAUCCUCUUUCACAGGGAAGAGUAUUAGCAUAAGGUUCUGUUUUAUAUAAAGGCAGCUACAACAUCCUGAAAUGAUUCAAAAUGGAGAGAGAAGUUUCACCCACUGCACUUAGGGCUGGCGGGCUUUGUGGCUUGCUUCUCUACUAUAGGUUCACACACAUCAAGAAGGCCCAGUGCAUUUUGGUCUUGCAGAAGGAAGUUGUCUAGAAGCACUAUUGACAGCCUGGGUGGCUCCAGAUGAACUCCACAGGGGGACUGUCUCCAGUGUCAUUUGGAGGAACAUGAAAGCCUUUUUUCUCUUUCUCUUUGGACAGAAUGAGAAGGAGGGUUUAUGUCCUCAGUGUUUGGAGUAGAUUAGGAUAGAGGAAUAAAAACAUUCAAUCCCAUCAACUUUUACUACCUCCUCCUCCUCCUCCUCCUCCUCUUCCUCCUCCUCCUCCUCCUCCUCCUCCUCCUCCUUCUUUUGCCUAUAAGACUUCCUCUCCCCUACCUAACUCAGGACCUUGAGAUUACUCUACACCUGAGAUAUAACCUCAGUUACUAGCCAUUUUUUUUUUUUUUGAGAAAGGGUCACAAAUAGCACAGGCUGCCCUUGAACUUGUUGAAUAUCCAAGGAUAAAUCUCCUUAGCACUGGAAUUAAGAGAAAUGUUGGGGAUGGAUUCCCAGGGCUUUGUGCAUGCCAGAUGUGGUGGUUUGAAUAAAAAUAGCCCCCAUAGGUGGCACUAUUAGGAGGUGUGGUUUUGUUGGUGGAGGUGUGUCCCUAGGGCAUGGGCUUUGAGCUCUCUGACUGCUUAAGUCUGGCCUAGUGUGACUGUCUCUUCCUGCUGCCCGCGGAUACAAAUGUAGAACUCGCAGUUCCUUCUCCAGCACUACGUCUGCCAGCCAAGACAAAAAUUGACUAAAUCUCUGAAACUGUAAGCCAAUCCCAAUUAAAUGUUUUCCUUCAUAAGAGUUUCCUUGUCCAUGGUGUAUCUUCAUAGCAAUAAAACCCUAAGGUCAGCACUCUGCCAUCUAUGCUACACCCCCGAGCCUUCAGUCUAUUUUCUAUCAUGGACGUUGGCUGGUUGUAGACAGAUUGUUUAUGUCUAAGACACAAACUGCACAGAGCAAAACCAGGCUUCUUCCAGGCAGACGGUGGUUUUUGAAGCCCAAGCAGGAUUGACACACAUGAUAGCUAGGAGACAGCAUCUUUGUGGAUGCAGGACUAUCCUCCAUAACGGAAGCCAGGGGCUGUUCUGAUUUAACCAUCAUUAAACUUCCUGGGGAGAGCAGGGGAGAAGGCCUGGCAGCUGCCUCGAGGUGACAGCUAUUGGCAUUAGUGUGUUCAUGUCAGAUACCCUGAGGCCCUCUGAAUGUCAGGCAGAAGCUCACAAGGGGAGAUUCUUAGAGGAGAUGUUUUUUUGCUAUGGAUGAGAGCAAGGAUAGGGAGUUUGGCUUGUAGUUCAUAUUACUUUAUUUGUAGGAAUGGAUGGUACCUAGACUAGGACACUUAAGUUAAAAAGCACAGAAAAACUUUCUACGUCGUCUCUAUCCCAGUACAGCACAUACGGAAUUCAUGUAUUUACAGAGUUACAAUACAAGGUAGUACAACUCCCUUGUUUCUUACUUUUUGACAUGGUACAAGGCUGACACCUCCUACUAUGUGUGAUUGAGAGAGAGAGAGAGAGAGAGAGAGAGAGAGAGAGAGAGAGAGAGAGACUGCCUUGAUGCAAUUCUUGGAGACCACAGGCACAGCAGGGGGCUCCAGUCUAGUGUAGAGCUGUAAAGAGAUUAUUUGAAUUUCAAAAUCCUUUCAUUAGCAUAUGUUUAGUACAGAAAUGGCAUACUUACUUAUGACAGAUUCAUAUACACACACAUACACACACACACAUACACACACACAUACACAUACUUAUACACACACAUACACCCGCAUGCACACACAUACACACACAUACUCAUACACACACAUACACAUACACACACACACACACACACACACACAUACACAUACAAUGUAUUCUAUUGUAUUUAGACUCUCUCAGCAAAGAGUCCUUGGGCUGGGAACUUCUGAGAGUGGUUAGUACAGUCUUCACAUUCAAAGAUGAUGGGAGUGGGGUAAGUGCAGGGUUUUGAAGUUGGCAGAGACGUGGAUACUAUAAAAGGCCAGAGCAUUUGCCGGGUAGGAAGAGAAGUUAUUUGUGGCCAGUCUUGAGUCUUAUUUUUUCCCUGGGAAAAUGAAGUUAGCAAACCGUAGGCAGCCUAUCUUGAAGUGUGCUCCUCCAUUGGGGACGUGAUGUCUCUGCAUCUCCGAUCCACACUGUAGCCCCCUGCUUCCGUUCACAGACCGACCCCUUUGUGCUCCCUACAUGCCUUUCAGACCCUAGUAUAUCAAGACAAAAACAGCAUCUUUCCUGCCUCAACCACAGACUUACUCCUUCCAUCUGGCAAUGCAAAUGAUGAACACCCCAAAAUUGUAGUACAAAAUCGGUAACCUGGUCUACUUGGCUGUUUUAACAGAAAAUUUGAUCAAUAAAAAUUUUGUGUUAUGUUGGGUUUUCCUCUGUCAUUAACAAAACAGAUUUUUUUUACUUUGAACUCAUCUUUAAUAGUGUAAAUAGUCCGAUUUCUUUUUUUUUUUUGGUACUAUUUUAUGUGUACAGGUGUUCUGCCUCACGAAUGUCUACCCCAUGUGUGUGCAGUGUCCAGGGACACCAGAAGAGGGUAUUGGAUUCCCUAGAACUGGAGUUAUAGAGCCAUGUGUGCGCUGGGAACCAAACCUGGGCUCUCCUAAAGAACAGCCAGGGGUUUUCAAUGCUAGCCGUCUCUCUGGCCCUUAUUGAUCUUAUGCCAAUCAGCAGGCUACACAGACAUAUAGUACAUUCAUAUUAGAAUAAUGUUACUAGAGAAUUCAUUCGCAUUUUGCCAAGAUUUUAAGAAUUAUUUUGUUGCCAGUGUCUUGGAUUGGCCCAAGAAUCAAUUCAGAAUCACAUCACACUAUAUUUGGUUAAUUUUGCUAAUCAGGUCUCCUUCAGUGUCAAACUCUGAGGUCAUUUCCUCUUUAGGCUUUUUGUGUUUUAUUUGUCCUUGACCCAAAGAAUACUGAUCAAAAGUUACUUUGAAGAAUGUCCUUGACCCUGAGUUUCUUAAUAUUUUCUCAUGAUUCCAUUAAGGUUAGGCAUUUUUGAUUAAAAAAAAAAUGGUACUGAAGUAUUUUUCUGACUAGCAUCAUUGGUAUCAACUCUGGUCCUUGGUCAAGGAGGUGACCUUUAGGCUGCUUCAUUGUGGAGUUACUCCUUGAGCUCCAGGAGAUGCUAAUUAUAUUGUGCAGAGAUUCUAAGCCAGAAACACAUUGUUUCUCUUUUCCUGUGGUCCACUAAUCCUAGCAUCCACUGAUGGGUCCUGCCUGUAACUGUUGCUGCUGAAGAAUUUGCCUGACUGUGACUUUCUAGUUCUGCCUUUGCUUCUAAUUAGACUUCUUGUGCCAAGAACACCCCUACCGUUUAUCUCUUCAGUUAUUUAUUUGUAUCUAUACACUCAUGGAUGCUUCUUUUGGCUUGGAGCUAUAACCCCAAAUUGUCAUGAUUAAUUUUAUUAGUCAGAUCUCUCCACCUUUCUGCCUUUAGCAACCCCUUCGGGUUGGUUCUUUGUUUCCACGCAAAUGACCUAUCACGUUUUCAGAACUUUAUUGCUUUGUGGUAACAUCAGUCAGGUGCAAGAUUAUUUUCUAUUUUCUCAACCUCAGACAUUCAGACAUUAUUUCCUCUUGGCCCUCCAGGUACUUGCAAUAGAAAAUGGGAUUUGUAAAAUGAGAAAUGAGCUAUAGCCCUGACCCUGGCUUUUGUGGUCUCGCCUUUUCCAGCCCAUCCGUGGCUUUUCUAGACUGUUGUAUUGAUACUAUAUUGGUAUUUACAUUGGUAUCAUGUUCUUCCCUUUAUAACUGUUAUACAACUGACGGUCACAUCUGAAACCAGGGUGUGUGAUUUCUUCACCUUUGUUCCUUUAACUCAUUAUUAUGUUUGCAUCCUCCAAGGCCUUUUGUAGUGUCAUAGAGGUUGGAAAGGUUUUUUGUGUUUUUUGUUUGUUUGUUUAUUUGUUUUUAAACUUGUGUAAAAAUGUUGUUGGGAUAUUGAUAUAGAUUGAAUUGAAUCUGUCAACUGUUUUAGGUUGUAUGAAGAAUUUCAAAAUACUAAGUCACACAAUCCAUGAACCCAGGAAAAUGUCUCAUGUAUUUGUGUUCCCUAAUUUAAUUUCCUCAAUCAUUGUUUGGUUUUCUUUCAUAGCCUUGUUUAAAUUUAUGUCCAAGUACUUAAGUGGUUGUAACUCUUGUAGAUGAUGCCUUUUCUUAUUAUUUUCAGAUGGUCAGGGUCAGUACACAGAAAUACGAGGGACUUUUUCAGGUGUUGAUUUUGGCAGCUUGAGAUUUGCGUAGAAUUUAUUUAUACUAAUAACCAAUUUUUGAUGAUGUUUUCAGGACUUUGUUUUCUGUAUUUUAUUAUGUCAUUAGCAAAUAGAGAUGGUUUAACUUUAUUCCAUCUAAUUUUCUUUCUCUUGAUUACUUAGUCUGGCUGGGACUUUGACGUGUUGUAUUGGAAGGAAGCAGGGAAGAGAGAAAGGAAUGUUUGUCUGCUUGUAUAUAUGUGCACCAAGUGCCUGCAGUGCCUGUGGAGACCAGAAGAGGGCAUCAGAUCCCUUGACCUGAAGUUACAGAACAGCUGUGAGUUGUAAUGUGUCUGGUGGGAACUGAACCUGAGUCCCCUGUUAACUAAAUUCAGACAACCUUUGUGAACCACUGAGACAGUUCUCUGGCCUGACAUAGUUUCUCUUUAAGCCUAUUAUAGUAAAUGUUUUAGUUCUCUUGAUUUCUUGUUUGCAUUUUCUCGUGUGUUUAGGUAAUUUGUGCUCUAUCUUCAGUCUGUCUCCAUGUGUGUCUUCCUGGGUCCCAGAGAUAAAUCUCACCUGACCCCUAACUGUAAUGCUGAGUUGUCCUGCUAGUGAAUUGUAGAGGAUUUCUGCAUCUGUAUUCCUCAGACAUUGGUCUAUACUUUUUAUCCUCAUAGGAUUCUUUUCUGAAUGUACAGCGCUAAUGUGGGAGCUCCAUAAUGGCUUCAGAAGCAUCCCUCCCCAUGCAGUCUUUUGGGAGAGUUGACAGGAAUUGUUAUUCAUCUGCUUUAAGCACUGAUGGAACUCAGCAGUAUAGCAGUUGGAUCUCAUAUUUGAUGGGAAACUUUUUUUAUUAUAGUUUCAAUCUUUGCUCACUAUAUGCUGGUCAUUUAAAAAUCCUAUUUACAUUAGUCAAUCUUUAUAGGUUGUAUGUAUGCAGGAUUUUGUUCAUUUCCUAUUUGUUGGCAAAUUGUACAUUGUAGCAUCUUCUAAACUUCUUUCUAUAUUUUUGUGCUACCCCUUGUAAUACUUCUUUUUGGUUUUAUUUACCUGGAAGUCUUAACUUUUUUAUUGGAUACAUUUCUUUAUUUAUAUUUCAAAUGUUAUUCCCUUUCCUGGAUUCCUGUCCAUAGUCCCCUAUCCCCCUCCCUCUCCCUCAAAGGGUGUCCCCUCAUUCCCCACUAGGACAUUCCCCUGCACUGGGGGUCCAACCUUGGCAGAACCAAGGACUUUCCCUUCCACUGGUGCCCAACAAGGCUUUCCUCCGCUACAUAUGCAGUUGGAGCCCUGGAUCAGUCCAUGUGUAGUCUUUCGGUAGUGGCUUAGUCCCUGGAAGCUCUGGUUGGUUGGCAUUAUUGUUCUUAUGGGGUUGCAAUCCCCUUCAGUUCUUUCAAUCCUUUUUCUAAUUCCUCCAAUGGGGGUCCCAUUCUCAGUUCAGUGGUUUGCUGCUAGCAUUCACCUCUGUAUUUGACAUGCUCCGGUUGUGUCUCUCAGGAGAGAUCUAUAUCUGGUUCCUAUCAGCAUGUACUUCUUAGCUUCCUCAAUCUUACCUAGUUUUGGUGGCUGUACACACACACACACACACACACACACACACACACACACACACACACACACACACACACACACA
Molecule: non-coding RNA, 6967 nt
Organism: Rattus norvegicus (Norway rat)
Lineage: Eukaryota; Metazoa; Chordata; Mammalia; Rodentia; Muridae
Source: RefSeq, a predicted model, not a curated record